AACGUAGGAGACGAACGUUAUCCGGAGUUACUGGGCGUAAAGGGCGUGCAGGCGGUUGGAUAAGUCUGGCGUGAAAUUUUCCGGCUUAACCGGGGGAUGUCGUCGGAGACUGUCUGACUAGAGGGUGAUAGAGGCGUGUGGAAUUCCGGGUGUAGUGGUGAAAUGCGUAGAGAUCCGGAGGAACACCAGUGGCGAAGGCGACACGCUGGGUCACACCUGACGCUAAGACGCGACAGCAUGGGGAGCAAACGGG
RNAcentral lists this ribosomal RNA (253 nucleotides) under uncultured bacterium. RNAcentral describes it as "partial 16S ribosomal RNA". It matches the Rfam family "Bacterial small subunit ribosomal RNA", at positions 524 to 776 of the family's 1533-position model. The record is from RNAcentral.